GCCGAACGCUGGCGGCGUGCUUAACACAUGCAAGUCGAACGGAAAGGCCCUGCUUUUGUGGGGUGCUCGAGUGGCGAACGGGUGCGUAACACGUGAGUAACCUGCCCUUGACUUUGGGAUAACUUCAGGAAACUGGGGCUCAUACCGGCUAGGAGCUCCUGCUGCAUGGUGGGGGCUGGAAAGUUUCGGCGGUUGGGGAUGGACUCGCGGCUUAUCAGCUUGUUGGUGGGGUAGUGGCUUACCAAGGCUUUGACGGGUAGCCGGCCUGAGAGGGUGACCGGCCACAUUGGGACUGAGAUACGGCCCAGACUCCUACGGGCGGCAGCAGUGGGGAAUAUUGCACAAUGGGCGGAAGCCGGAUGCAGCAACGCCGCGUGCGGGAUAGCGGCCUUCGGGUGGUAAACCGCUUUCGCCUGUGACGAAGCGUUAGUGACGGUAAUGGGUAAAGAAGCACCGGCUAACUACGGG
This 468-nucleotide ribosomal RNA is filed under the name uncultured bacterium. RNAcentral's name for it is "partial 16S ribosomal RNA". It matches the Rfam family "Bacterial small subunit ribosomal RNA", at positions 28 to 507 of the family's 1533-position model. The record is from RNAcentral.